Molecule: long non-coding RNA, 709 nt
Filed under: Elaeis guineensis (African oil palm)
Lineage: Eukaryota; Viridiplantae; Streptophyta; Magnoliopsida; Arecales; Arecaceae
Description: long non-coding RNA (EGUI_LNC071145)
Source: RNAcentral
AUGAUUCAGUCUUUCUAUUGUGAGUACCGACUUGACGGAGAUUAUGGAGAACUCGUCAAACUCCAUCAUCAUUCAUAUGCUAGACUUGCUCGACUCGAGUUUAUUUGUGAAUCUCAUGAAAUUUUUUUUUCAAUGUUCACACUUAUUUUGGCCAAAGACUUUCUGAAUUCAAUCUCACAGAUCGCAUAGGACUUCUCUUUUUCUGUCAAGAUCGAUAGAUUCCAUCUAGGUGCAUCAUACUCCAAACAGUGAAUCUGAACCUACUAAAGUCAACGUACACAGUAAGAACUCAAAUGGUUAGGGACCAAAAGAAUGUGCAGUCAAAUCCAGUAGCCUCACUGCGAAUAGCCAAUGACACCGUAGGUCAAAGGACCACUCACACCACUGCAGUGUCGAGAAGACCACUAAUGUGUGAGUAGACAUCCAUGUGGUUUUCGUGUUGGUCAUGCUUAGUGUAAGUUCUCUAAUAACCACCUGCACUUUCAUCCCAAGGUCUCUACACCGCAGAUUCGAGACUCAUCUGCCCACAAGGGAGGUGAACCGUGCAUCGAUCUCAAAUGGAUUGAUCACUAUCCUCUAUGAUAAUCCGUUGAUCGGAAGUAUUUAGAAAUUAAUUACUAAUUAAUGUAUGUCUCAAAUUCUUAACUCUUUAAGAAUAUAUAAAAAUUAUUUUUAUUAAUUUUUAAGACAAAUCAUAGACACAUAUACA